AUAGCUUUAAGUUAUGUAAACUAUAAACCUUCAAAGUUUAAAAAGAUUUAAUUCAAGCUAUC
Molecule: transfer RNA, 62 nt
Filed under: Pseudocapillaria tomentosa
Lineage: Eukaryota; Metazoa; Nematoda; Enoplea; Trichinellida; Capillariidae
Description: tRNA-Trp
Source: RNAcentral